CCUACGGGAGGCAGCAGUUAGGGAAUCUUCCACAAUGGGGCGCAAGCCUGAUGGAGCAACGCCGCGUGAGUGAAGCCGGCCUUCGGGUUGUAAAGCUCUGUCUGUCGGGACGAAGACCGGCCCGGAAGGGCCGGGGAGCCGGCACCGACGGAGGAAGCCCCUGCAAACUACGUGCCAGCAGCCGCGGUAAGACGUAGGGGGCAAGCGUUGUCCGGAAUUACUGGGCGUAAAGGGCGUGUAGGCGGUGCGAUACGUAGCGGUUUUAAGCCUCCGGCUCACCCGGAGGAGGGCGGCUAAACGGUCGCGCUAGAGGGCAGGAGAGGUGCGUGGAAUUCCUGGUGGAGCGGUGAAAUGCGUAGAGAUCAGGAAGAACACCCGUGGCGAAGGCGGCGCACUGGCCUGGCCCUGACGCUGAGGCGCGACAGCGUGGGGAGCGAACGGGAUUAGAUACCCCGGUAGUCCACGCCGUAAACGAUGGGUACUAGGUGUCGCCCGGGUCCACCGGGCGGUGCCGGAGCUAACGCACUAAGUACCCCGCCUGGGGAGUACGGCCGCAAGGUUGAAACUCAAAGGAAUUGACGGGG
RNAcentral lists this ribosomal RNA (584 nucleotides) under uncultured bacterium. RNAcentral's name for it is "bacterial SSU rRNA". It matches the Rfam family "Bacterial small subunit ribosomal RNA", at positions 338 to 918 of the family's 1533-position model. The record is from RNAcentral.